AAAUGAAUAGACGGGGACCCGCACAAGCGGUGGAGCAUGUGGUUUAAUUCGAAGAUACGCGAAGAACCUUACCAAGGCUUGACAUGUUAGGAAUCUUGUAGAAAUAUGAGAGUGCUAGCUUGCUAGAACCUAAACACAGGUGCUGCAUGGCUGUCGUCAGCUCGUGUCGUGAGAUGUUGGGUUAAGUCCCGCAACGAGCGCAACCCUCGUCCUUAGUUGCCAGCGGUUCGGCCGGGAACUCUAAGGAGACUGCCUGCGUAAGCGGGAGGAAGGUGGGGAUGAUGUCAAGUCAUCACGGCCCUUAUGCCUUGGGCAACACACGUGCUACAAUGGGAUAUACAGAAAGUCGCAAUACCGCGAGGUGGAGCCAAUCUCUAAAAUAUCUCUCAGUUCGGAUUGUAGUCUGCAACUCGACUACAUGAAGUCGGAAUCGCUAGUAAUCGUAGAUCAGCUAUGCUACGGUGAAUACGUUCCCGGGUCUUGCACACACCGCCCGU
Molecule: ribosomal RNA, 497 nt
Filed under: uncultured bacterium
Lineage: Bacteria
Description: bacterial SSU rRNA
Rfam family: Bacterial small subunit ribosomal RNA
Source: RNAcentral